AAUAAGCUUAUCUCUUUCUUUGCUUCCUACUUACCUAUUAUUUCCCCUGCAUUCCAGAACUGUUGUUUGGAACUUGGGAGCCACUCGCUACCUUUGAUACAAUCUCAAUCUUAGGUAUGAUUGAAUCAUACAAGUUAGGCAAUAAAUUUUUAAAACUAUUUGUCUUGUCAUAGCUAAUAAUAGGUCAUUAUCUUGAGAUUAGACAAAGAUAAUUGGUUGCCCUGCAAAUCAAAGGACUUUAUUAACUUGAUGCAAUUUUCUUAAGUGAACCAAUAAGGCCGGCCUUCCAGUAAAAAAGAUCUUCCAAGUCAAAUUUGGAGCACAUCAGCUGGCUAUGAACAUUGAGAUGGCAAUGUCCACGCUUGAGUUGCUUUUUAGCAACCAUUACACACCAUUGUAUCAAAUUUCUUGUUGAAGCAAACAAGGCUCAUUUUCUUCACUUUCCGAGAAAGUGCUAGCAAUAGUAAGGACAAUCACUUAACCAUUACCACCUAAUCUUUUUGCUAUUAAUAGACUAUAAUUAAGAUUCUCAUCCCUUAAUGCCUUUCAUUAUCACUGCCCCUGCAAAGCAAAUCCUCUUCUAAUUUCGCCACCUAGAUGCUAUUUCCACGCAUACUUUUUCCUUAAAGGACCUGAAUUUUUUUUUAUUGUGUUCUAGUUGGAAGGAAGAAAGCAUGUGUCACCUCACAAGUUGGCCAUGAACUUGCUGUUUACUCCAUUUAAAUUAGGACGCUUUGUCCACGGAGAAGAUUCCCUUUAACUCCUCUUCUACACCAUAUAUGGUAUCUUAACAGUUUGAUUUUAAAAUUUACUCAACAGUCGAUUGACUGAACCGUGAGCACCCAUGGGUCUAAAGGCACCCUUUUAAACCAGUUCUGACUUCUGAUGGCAGGAAAACACAAACAGAUACACCCAAUUUUGUUCUUCAGCAGCACAAGAUUCUCCCUUUUCUUCUUUAGUCUAUUGGGUAAGUAAGGGAGUUGGCCAAAUUUUCUUACCUUAAGAGGCAAUUGAGCAGGGUAAGCGAAGUGUGUUCUCCGAUUAAUCAUUGCCAAUCUCAUGACCAACAAAAACAGCUCACCACACUGUUGCUCCCAUGUGGUUAUGGUAAAUCAUAAUGCUUUCACUCAGGAACACGAUGACACUAUCAAUGGAGAAGAUCAGUGCUUAAACUAUGUGGUUUCACAGGGACCAUUUCAAUCUUCAAACCCACCAAACGCCCUGUCCAGAUUAUUGAUUGCUUAACGUUCCAAAUUGCUCUGAUUUUUCAUAAAUAGUUAUAUCAGGCAAUUAUGGCUGUCUUAAUGGAAUAAUUUAACCAGGUUCGGACCCUUUUACCCUGAUAAUUGUCACAAAGCACAAAUUAUCCUCAAAUGUUCUUGCCCUAACUGGGGUCACCUGAAGAUUCCUGACAUGUACGAUCUCUACAAUGCUGAAGUUGAGAUAUUGAGCCCUUAAACCAACCAUUUACCAACUGAAAAUCAGUAUUUGAACGAAGGCAAGGAGUACUUGACGGGCAGAAACUCCGGGCAGACAGUGAGGACCACCAUCUGCUAAUAAAACCCUCCAAUUCCAAAGCAAGGGAAUUUUUAGCAGCACCGUAACCAUAGUUUUGUUUAUCUGUCUGUAACACACACAUUUUAUGUUGCUUUCAAUAGGUUCAGAAUAUCCAAACCCCGAGGGAUGAAAACAAAACUACUGCAACAAUGAAACAUCACAAAUUUCUUCCUCCGCGCAAAUACUUCUUCCUCGUGCCCUUCCAUCAGAAUUCAGAAACAAUGCGUCUUUGGAAUGUGUUCACAUCUGAUGAAUUCAGUUAAAACUGAAAAUUUAAGUUUGGUUCAAUGGCUAAAUGCGAUAAUAUCACUCACCUGAUUCAACUCCCCACCAACCGAGUUUGAAUUGUGUUACAGCUCACCAUUCACCAAUUGCCACUAUCCAUAAGAAAUCAGUUAGCUCAAAGCAAUGAAACAUGACAACCACUACUCUUAAAAGUCUCAACCAAAAAAUCAUAUCACCAAAUCCCUCAACCACACUUUCAUUUUUUUCUUCAAUGCCAUCAUCUGCAAAUCCAAACCAAGCAAACGCACCAAAAGAAUUAAAGAUAGGACAGAACCCAAUAACACUACCUUGCUUUUCUAUUCUAAAAACAUAAACCAACCAACCAUACACACUAGCAAGUCAAAAUUCCCCUACUAAAUUUCAAUCAUAGCCAAAGAACAUCACUAAUCACCUAUCCCAUUACACCAAACCCCUACUUCCUAACUAUGCUCGUAAACCAAAAUAAAACUUAGAGAGAGAGAGAGAGAGAGA
Molecule: unclassified non-coding RNA, 2313 nt
Filed under: Hevea brasiliensis (rubber tree)
Lineage: Eukaryota; Viridiplantae; Streptophyta; Magnoliopsida; Malpighiales; Euphorbiaceae
Source: RNAcentral